This 446-nucleotide ribosomal RNA is filed under the name uncultured bacterium. RNAcentral's name for it is "partial 16S ribosomal RNA". It matches the Rfam family "Bacterial small subunit ribosomal RNA", at positions 338 to 795 of the family's 1533-position model. The record is from RNAcentral.
CCUACGGGUGGCAGCAGUCGAGAAUCAUUCACAAUGGGGGAAACCCUGAUGGUGCGACGCCGCGUGGGGGAAUGAAGGUCUUCGAAUUGUAAACCCCUGUCAUGUGGGAGCAAAUUAAAAAGAUAGUACCACAAGAGGAAGAGACGGCUAACUCUGUGCCAGCAGCCGCGGUAAUACAGAGGUCUCAAGCGUGGUUCGGAAUCACUGGGCGUAAAGCGUGCGUAGGCUGUUUCGUAAGUCGUGUGUGAAAGGCGCGGGCUCAACCCGCGGACGGCACAUGAUACUGCGAGACUAGAGUAAAGGAGGGGGAACCGGAAUUCUCGGUGUAGCAGUGAAAUGCGUAGAUAUCGAGAGGAACACUCGUGGCGAAGGCGGGUUCCUGGACAUUAACUGACGCUGAGGCACGAAGGCCAGGGGAGCGAAAGGGAUUAGAUACCCUAGUAGUC